RNAcentral lists this ribosomal RNA (495 nucleotides) under uncultured bacterium. RNAcentral describes it as "partial 16S ribosomal RNA". It matches the Rfam family "Bacterial small subunit ribosomal RNA", at positions 28 to 507 of the family's 1533-position model. The record is from RNAcentral.
GAUGAACGCUGGCGGCGUGCCUAAUACAUGCAAGUAGAACGCUGAAGGAGGAGCUUGCUCUUCUGGAUGAGUUGCGAACGGGUGAGUAACGCGUAGGUAACCUGCCUGGUAGCGGGGGAUAACUAUUGGAAACGAUAGCUAAUACCGCAUGACAACAGUUAUUGCAUGAUAACUGUUUAAAAGGUGCAACUGCUCCACUACCAGAUGGACCUGCGUUGUAUUAGCUAGUUGGUGUGGGAACGGCUCACCAAGGCGAGGAUACAUAGCCGACCUGUGAGGGUGAGCGGCCACACUGGGACGGAGACACGGCCCAGACGCCUAGGGGAGGGAGCAGUAGGGAAUCUGCGGCAAUGGACGGAAAUCUGACCGAGAAACGCCGCGUGAGGGAAGAAGGUUGCCGGAUCGGGAAGCUCGGUUGUAGGAGAAGAACGAGUGUGAGCGUGGAAAGUUCACACUGUGACGGUAUUUGGCCAGAAAGGGACGGCUAUCUACGUG